This 513-nucleotide long non-coding RNA is filed under the name Homo sapiens (human). RNAcentral's name for it is "HSALNT0148423". The record is from RNAcentral. Lineage: Eukaryota; Metazoa; Chordata; Mammalia; Primates; Hominidae.
UUUGUAGAGCAGAAACAAAAUGGACUAUUCAAAAGCCUUUUCAAAGAGGUUUUAGUUUUGGGUAAAAUGAAUUAAGCACAUCUCACCCAGCCCCUUCCACUGAAUGAAGCUGAAAAACCUGGACAGAAAACAUAGAAGCCUCUGAAAAAUAAACAGUAGCAGGUGUAUUGGAGAAGAAGACCCAAGUUCAAUAGACCACUGAACCAGUGGUGAUGUUAUGCUUUUUUUCCCUUUAAUCUCCUCUGACCGGAACUGAAACCAGACUUGCAAUCUCUGAAAUCUAAACUGUGGAAUAGGCCACUGCCCAAAUCCCAUACUGAGCACUUGGUGGUGCACAUGCAAGAAAAAUCGGAGUAGCACUGCAGAGAUUUUUAACAACUGAACUGACAUGGAAACACAGUUCACAGAAGGCUAGCUGGAACUUGUAGUCUGAAUCCACCUGGUUCUAUUGUCUGCUAAAAUUAAAACAUUAACGUUAUCUAUAGGAUUUAACCAAAAUCCAAAGUCCCAUAA